GGGCCCUCCGCCCCGCGCGCGCGCACAACAGGUCCUUGUAGGAGCGCGCCGUGCCACGCGGCGCCGGGGAUGGGUCUGCACUCGGACAUGAGCCCGCUUGUUCCCCGCUCGCCGUGAAAAGAGUUUUGAAAUGAGUUCUGAAUAGACAGCAUUUUCUUUGUGCGAGUGGUAAAUAACCCAGAGCGGAGUUACCGAGUUGCAGCUUCUGCAUUCUGAAACUCCAUGGAACUUUUUUGUGGGGAGAAAGGCAGGAUGUUUUUUACAGAAUGUGACCUCCCCGGAACACUGGAGGUGAGGAGAAAACGCUAGUGAGAUAACGGUCACUGCUUUACAUCUGGGAAAAUACAGCUUUUAACAAAGCUACAAGAGGAGAGAAGAUUCCUACCUCCCACCCCAAACCCAUGCCUCAUGGAGUUUCCCCAGAAAGCGAUAGCAUCUCUGAAUGGGGCCGUGUGGAGAAACCCUAAGAGAAACAGCAUAAGAGCAUUUUGGAAUAUAUCCCGCAAAAGAUAACUUUCUACACAUCUGGCAGAGAUUCUCCAGGUAAAGUGCCUUUGAGGAGGUGUGCUUUUAACACACGAACUGGAAAACAUCCCAUUUCCUCCACCUGUUUACUGGUGAGUGAGAUGAGAGGCAGGGAGGAUGGGAGAAGCGUGGCAGAUGGUGGGUCGCAUAGGGGGUGUGGGAGGUCCAGGGACUCAGUCUUGGAUCUUCUCUUUGAA
RNAcentral lists this long non-coding RNA (722 nucleotides) under Bos indicus x Bos taurus (hybrid cattle). RNAcentral describes it as "lncRNA (ENSBIXG00005006061.1)". The record is from RNAcentral. Lineage: Eukaryota; Metazoa; Chordata; Mammalia; Artiodactyla; Bovidae.